AUUGAACGCUGGCGGCAGGCCUAACACAUGCAAGUCGAGCGGAUGAAGGGAACUUGCUCCUGGAUUCAGCGGCGGACGGGUGAGUAAUGCCUAGGAAUCUGCCUGGUAGUGGGGGAUAACGUCCGGAAACGGGCGCUAAUACCGCAUACGUCCUGAGGGAGAAAGUGGGGGAUCUUCGGACCUCACGCUAUCAGAUGAACCUAGGUCGGAUUAGCUAGUUGGUGGGGUAAAGGCCUACCAAGGCGACGAUCCGUAACUGGUCUGAGAGGAUGAUCAGUCACACUGGAACUGAGACACGGUCCAGACUCCUACGGGAGGCAGCAGUGGGGAAUAUUGGACAAUGGGCGAAAGCCUGAUCCAGCCAUGCCGCGUGUGUGAAGAAGGUCUUCGGAUUGUAAAGCACUUUAAGUUGGGAGGAAGGGCAGUAAGUUAAUACCUUGCUGUUUUGACGUUACCAACAGAAUAAGCACCGGCUAACUUCGUG
RNAcentral lists this ribosomal RNA (484 nucleotides) under uncultured bacterium. RNAcentral describes it as "partial 16S ribosomal RNA". It matches the Rfam family "Bacterial small subunit ribosomal RNA", at positions 30 to 507 of the family's 1533-position model. The record is from RNAcentral.